GACGAACCGUGCGAACGUUGUUCGGAAUCACUGGGCUUAAAGGGCGCGUAGGCGGUCUGUCAAGUCGGGAGUGAAAUCUUUCGGCUCAACCGGAAAACUGCUUUCGAUACUGACAGGCUGGAGGGAGGUAGGGGUUGCGGGAACUACCAGUGGAGCGGUGAAAUGCGUUGAUAUUGGUAGGAACGCCGGUGGCGAAAGCGCGCAACUGGACCUCUUCUGACGCUGAGGCGCGAAAGCUAGAAGAGCAAACGGG
This 253-nucleotide ribosomal RNA is filed under the name uncultured bacterium. RNAcentral's name for it is "partial 16S ribosomal RNA". It matches the Rfam family "Bacterial small subunit ribosomal RNA", at positions 524 to 776 of the family's 1533-position model. The record is from RNAcentral.